UACGGGGGGUGCGAGCGUUGUCCGGAUUUAUUGGGCGUAAAGCGCUCGCAGGUGGCCCGAUGCGUCGUGCGUGAAAGACCCCGGCUCAACUGGGGGGCGUCGUGCGAUACGGUCGGGCUGGAGGCCAGUAGGGGGAUGCGGAAUUCCGGGUGUAGUGGUGGAAUGCGUAGAGAUCCGGAGGAACACCAGCGGCGAAGGCGGCAUCCUGGACUGGUCCUGACACUCAGGAGCGAAAGCGUGGGGAGCGAGCCGG
Molecule: ribosomal RNA, 253 nt
Filed under: uncultured bacterium
Lineage: Bacteria
Description: partial 16S ribosomal RNA
Rfam family: Bacterial small subunit ribosomal RNA
Source: RNAcentral